UACUAGACACGUGACCAGAAACUUUGAGCCGGAAAGGCUUGUGGAGGUUAGUCUGGUCUAGUUUGGUUUUCCAAUCUUGAGGGAAAAGAACACUCCUACAGGUUGCGUGUGAUUAAGCAUAGCACAGUCAAUGUCUUCAGCGUCAGUCGUCCUUCGAAGUGGAUCCUUGGUGCAUCUUGUCUUGCUGUCUUCAGUUGUCGAGAGGGGUGAGAGAGAGUACAGAGGAGAGUCUAAGGGUCUUAGUGCAGUCAAACAAGCGUUGGAAAGUCAACUCAAACAAGUGCCGAAAUCGUUUUGAACAUUAAAAAUAAGACGAGUGAUAUAACCGCAUGCUUGUUGCCUAAGCAAAAGUGCGACUUAUAUCAAGCACAAACAACAGAAACGAGCAACACACAACUUGGUCCAUCCGAACCAUUUCACGGACUCGACUUCGCAUAGGGGAUUCACGACUCAUCCUAUCCUAGGUUCUGGGACUCGACAGUCAGGCUCGUUUCGUGCUCCGGAGAGGAGUCCGCUAAGUCUUCUGGACCUUCUUAUGGUGUUGUCAUGCCUCUUGUUGUCGAUUGCCGAAGCAAUUCGCUUGAGUUGUAAAAGAGCUCUUAUUUUCAUUCUCAUCUGGGAAGUUGCUGACGAAGGUGGUUUUUCAUAGCUGUCAUUGACAGGGAAUUCUGUUGUGUUCAUGAUCUUGUCAGUGUCUUCUUAUCUUC
RNAcentral lists this long non-coding RNA (707 nucleotides) under Hordeum vulgare. RNAcentral's name for it is "long non-coding RNA (HVUL_LNC017998)". The record is from RNAcentral. Lineage: Eukaryota; Viridiplantae; Streptophyta; Magnoliopsida; Poales; Poaceae.